This 227-nucleotide long non-coding RNA is filed under the name Manihot esculenta (cassava). Its description in RNAcentral is "long non-coding RNA (MESC_LNC007421)". The record is from RNAcentral. Lineage: Eukaryota; Viridiplantae; Streptophyta; Magnoliopsida; Malpighiales; Euphorbiaceae.
CUCACAUUGUGCCAGGGGCGAUACGGCCACACCUGGACUUCCAUAUCAUAUCAUAUCACAUCUCAUCAUACUGAGGACUAAUGGGUCAUCCAACAUCCAUCCACAUCAACAUCAAGAUAUGCAAUGCAACAUAUUCAUGAAUUCUAAUGCGAACAACCUAAUACAUAUCACAUGGCAUUUAUGAUGCAUGAACAUGCUCAAAUUUAAUUUAUCUUUGAAACAUAAAG